UACGUAGGCAGCGAGCGUUGUUCGGAGUUACUGGGCGUAAAGCGUGCGUAGGCGGUGGACCAAGUCUGGUGUGAAAUCUCCCGGCUUAACCGGGAGGGUGCGCCGGAAACUGGUUCGCUGGAGUGCGGGAGAGGCAAGCGGAAUUCCUGGUGUAGCGGUGAAAUGCGUAGAUAUCAGGAGGAACACCGGCGGUGUAGACGGCUUUCUGGACCGUAGCUGACGCUGAGACACGAAAGCGUGGGUAGCAAACAGG
Molecule: ribosomal RNA, 253 nt
Filed under: uncultured bacterium
Lineage: Bacteria
Description: partial 16S ribosomal RNA
Rfam family: Bacterial small subunit ribosomal RNA
Source: RNAcentral